GUGGGGAAUUUUGGACAAUGGGCGAAAGCCUGAUCCAGCAAUGCCGCGUGCAGGAUGAAGGCCUUCGGGUUGUAAACUGCUUUUGUACGGAACGAAAAAGCUUCUCCUAAUACGAGAGGCCCAUGACGGUACCGUAAGAAUAAGCACCGGCUAACUACGUGCUAGCAGCCGCGGUAAUACGUAGGGUGCGAGCGUUAAUCGGAAUUACUGGGCGUAAAGCGUGCGCAGGCGGUUAUGUAAGACAGAUGUGAAAUCCCCGGGCUCAACCUGGGAACUGCAUUGGUGACUGCAUGGCUAGAGUACGGUAGAGGGGGAUGGAAUUCCGCGUGUAGCAGUGAAAUGCGUAGAUAUGCGGAGGAACACCGAUGGCGAAGGCAAUCCCCUGGACCUGUACUGACGCUCAUGCACGAAAGCGUGGGGAGCAAACAGGAUUAGAAACCCGAGUAGUCC
This 450-nucleotide ribosomal RNA is filed under the name uncultured bacterium. RNAcentral's name for it is "partial 16S ribosomal RNA". It matches the Rfam family "Bacterial small subunit ribosomal RNA", at positions 354 to 796 of the family's 1533-position model. The record is from RNAcentral.